This 468-nucleotide ribosomal RNA is filed under the name Selenomonas sp. oral taxon F22. RNAcentral describes it as "bacterial SSU rRNA". It matches the Rfam family "Bacterial small subunit ribosomal RNA", at positions 28 to 474 of the family's 1533-position model. Lineage: Bacteria; Bacillati; Bacillota; Negativicutes; Selenomonadales; Selenomonadaceae. The record is from RNAcentral.
GACGAACGCUGGCGGCGUGCUUAACACAUGCAAGUCGAACGGGAACCUUUAUUUCGGUAAAGGUGAGAGUGGCAAACGGGUGAGUAACACGUAGGCAACCUGCCGACAGGAUGGGGACAACAUUCCGAAAGGAAUGCUAAUACCGAAUGAAGUCACCGGAGGGCAUCCUCUGGUGAUGAAAGAUGGCCUCUGAAUAUGCUAUCACCUGUCGAUGGGCCUGCGUCUGAUUAGCCAGUUGGCGGGGUAACGGCCCACCAAAGCGACGAUCAGUAGCCGGUCUGAGAGGAUGAACGGCCACAUUGGGACUGAGACACGGCCCAGACUCCUACGGGAGGCAGCAGUGGGGAAUCUUCCACAAUGGGCGAAAGCCUGAUGGAGCAACGCCGCGUGAGUGAAGAAGGUCUUCGGAUCGUAAAGCUCUGUUGCACGGGACGAAAACCGGGUUUGAGAAUAUUGAGCCCGGGGACG